GACGAACGCUGGCGGCGUGCUUAACACAUGCAAGUCGAACGGUGACGAAGAGCUUGCUCUUCUGAUCAGUGGCGAACGGGUGAGUAACACGUGAGCAACCUACCCUUGACACUGGGAUAACAGUUGGAAACAGCUGCUAAUACCGGAUAUGAACCUCUCAGGCAUCUGAGAGGUUGGAAAGCUCCGACGGUCAAGGAUGGGCUCGCGGCCUAUCAGCUUGUUGGUGAGGUAACGGCUCACCAAGGCGACGACGGGUAGCCGGCCUGAGAGGGCGACCGGCCACACUGGGACUGAGAUACGGCCCAGACUCCUACGGGAGGCAGCAGUGGGGAAUAUUGCGCAAUGGGCGAAAGCCUGACGCAGCAACGCCGCGUGCGGGAUGACGGCC
This 388-nucleotide ribosomal RNA is filed under the name uncultured bacterium glc4. RNAcentral's name for it is "bacterial SSU rRNA". It matches the Rfam family "Bacterial small subunit ribosomal RNA", at positions 28 to 416 of the family's 1533-position model. The record is from RNAcentral.